This 16-nucleotide ribosomal RNA is filed under the name Phaeophyscia exornatula. Its description in RNAcentral is "partial 26S ribosomal RNA". The record is from RNAcentral. Lineage: Eukaryota; Fungi; Ascomycota; Lecanoromycetes; Caliciales; Physciaceae.
UGAACUUAAGCAUAUC